GGGGCCGUAGCUCAGUUGGGAGAGCACCGCCUUUGCACGGCGGAGGUCAGGGGUUCGAAUCCCCUCGGCUCCA
Molecule: transfer RNA, 73 nt
Filed under: Rubrobacter sp.
Lineage: Bacteria; Bacillati; Actinomycetota; Rubrobacteria; Rubrobacterales; Rubrobacteraceae
Description: tRNA-Ala
Rfam family: tRNA
About the family: Transfer RNA (tRNA) molecules are approximately 80 nucleotides in length.
Source: RNAcentral